Long non-coding RNA from Mus musculus (house mouse), 12856 nucleotides. RefSeq annotates it as predicted gene, 26679. The record is from RefSeq and is a predicted model, not a curated record. The transcript has 3 exons. Lineage: Eukaryota; Metazoa; Chordata; Mammalia; Rodentia; Muridae.
CCUGAGAUAACGGGAAAGAGCAGAGUGCUGCAGAAGAAAGCCUGGUGGCCACCGCGCCAACGGAGGGCAGAGAUGAUUUCCUCCUUCAGAGAAGAGCAGAUGAGAUCUGAAGAAUGAGAUAACACAUCCCAGACGAUCUGCGCUAAGGAGUGAGCCGGAUUGUAGCCCAUGUCUUUCUUGAGUCAAUCCUGCCACUUCACUGAGAUAUGAGCAAUGGUUAACAUCCAGGACAGAUACAAAUCUGGUGUUACCGUUCAGAGAGCAAUAGGACGCAGAACAAAUGUCAAAUGUGAGGAUGUGGCGCCGAGAGACAAUUAUUCGCUUGGUCUAUGCGUGGACCGUGCACAGGGGUCAGCAAACUCACUUGUUCUGGGCUCACAGUAGAACUCAGCCCUUUCCUACCUGUAUGAGUUGCACUGACUGGUGGUUUACUUAAUGUAUACAAUGAAGACAGUGGCCAUGUCCUCCUCUUAGCACCGCUAUGCAGCUAUAUAAACUAAGACACUGAUAAAGUUCACAGAGCUGUCUGGUAUACAGGAAAUUCUGAGAAAUACAAGGAGUAUGAAGAACAUGCACGUGUAUAUGGUAUUUUGUCUAGAGUAAGUAUUCACUACUAUUCUCAACCGCUCUUCGCUUCUCCGGUGGGGUAAGCUGGUGCAUCAAAGCACGAUAAAGACUAGUUGAUGGUUAUUACUCAUAUGUCAUGUCUGGGGUUAUUGUUAUUAUUCAUAUAUCAUGUCUGGGGUUGGUUUCCGUUCAAUGGAGUGUCUUUUUGCAACUGUCCUUAGAUAAACAGUGUGGACUGUAGCUCACUCUGGCAUCAGGGUUUUAAGGAAUGUUUUCUGUGGACAUCUCAGUCCAGCACUGUGAGACUCGAGGAAACAGAAUCUCAUUUAAAAGACCCGACAGGAUUAAAAUCCUAAAGGAAAAAGCUAUCUGACACCGUGAACAGUUCGUAGAAAAAUUCUCGUGAAGGCCCGAGACUUCUCAGGACAUGCAUUCUUGCACAAAACAACUGUUGAUUAUCAAAGCAAGUUGUGACAACUGACUGACACAGGCAGCGUGAAGAUUCUAGUGUCUGUCUCCAUAGACCACCAUGAAGCAAAAAGCGGAGGCACACAGACAGCGUCUCCUGAGGGUAGCCCAAGAAACAGACACAAAAAAAGUACUGGCAAUUCUUCCUGUGGCUGCUGGGGAUCAUUUAUUGUUUUCCUUCAUUUUAAUGUCUCUUCUCUUUUGCUUCUUGGUAGAGACGUUUCUUGGGGGACGCAGGAAGCAAGGCCCAGCCCUGGGAAAGCAGUGUAGGAUAGAGUUGGGGGCACACCACUCAGGGCUCUUGGAGGGCCUUACAGUAACUGGAAGUCGGAGCCUAGGCUGAGGUCCAUGAAGCAGGGUCACAGUAAGGACUAAUUUGGAGCCAGAAACUCACAGCUCUAAGCAUCUUUCACUUCUUGUGAGGGGGGCCUGACAGGUGCAGGGAUGGGAGAUGGCUGUUGGGUUCCAGGCCAAGUCGUGGAUCCACUCAACUGCUAUUUACUAUUAAAUAUUAUGCCUAGUGCUUGCCAAAGGUAAGCAUGAACACCAUACACUGUCUGCAUGAAGCCUGUGGGCUGGUGGUAAAGAGAAUGCUGACCAAAAUUUGUGUAUUGCACAUUAUGAGAUGUGUUCUAGAGGGGAUGCUGAGGAACUGCUGAAGAGAGGGCCAGAUAUGACAAGUGUUCUCUAAACUGAGAACUGAAAGGCCAAAGUGUGUGUGUGUUUGAUGGACUGUGUGAGUCGUACACAUAUGUUGGCUGUACGGUACACAUGGCAUGCGGUUAUAUGUGUUGUGUUUGGAAUGCUCACGUGUAUCUAGUCUGUGUGUGGUGAGUCGGUACGUGUGUUGGGGGAGGAAGAUAUAAGGACGCCAGAGGAAAGGAAUACGCCAUGGGGAAGAAGCACAUUCCAUCUGGGAACUUGCAUGUGGCUUCCCAAGCUGGAGCCCAGCGUGAGCAUGAGUGGGAGUUGGGGAGGUGAGAAAAGAUGAAGCAGGAAGCAGUGGGUAGAAGGCAGACACAGAGAACAGCGAGACUGAAGUUAGGGACACGGAUGGUCUUCACUGUUGCAUGAAGAGACUAACACGUCUGCUUCACGCGUGGCAGUCCGUUAGGUGCCACCAUUCCCUUCCAAUGCCACAUUACCAAUUUUAUUGUUGUCUGUAUGACUUGCUUAAAAGUCCUGGCAGAAUUCUGAUUCUGGGUCUGUGUGGCUUAGUCUACAUUCCCAAGCAACCAGGUAGGUUUAGAUUAGGGAUGGUGGUUAGGAUGAAGUUUAAAUUUCCAGCAGAACUGAAUUUAUUAAAAUAAGCAACCUUGGUGGGUUUCAAUAUGGAGAACCCAUGCCCACCCGCAACAGAGUGAGUUAAGAUACCAAAUGAGUGUACCGUGUCUUUGCAGAACAACAGCCUUGAGCUCAUCAGAGUUGGAUGGUCAUUGAGUUAUAUGGCAGGGAAUGGAAAAAUUGUAGCUUUAGCAAAGAAAAGAAGACUACAGAAUCAGGUUAGAGUAAGAAAGAGCAUAACAGAAAAGGGUUGUUUUCUCUUUUUUUCCUUUAAAUUGCCUUUAAAAAAAAAACAAGUUGUUUUUAGAAUCUUUCCCCAGCAUGCUCCUCAUUGAGAAAGUCAACUGGAAUAUGGAAGCAAGAAGGAAUAAACUAAGGACUAAAGAAUUGUCUCUCAACGACAGGCGCUUCUGUCUAUAUGAACUAGCAGAUGUUGCCACAGCGCUCUCCCUGUGUUGGUGGAUCUGCAGUUGGAAGGUAACAGAAACAGCGUUUGCCUCGUUCCCAUGAUGGGCCAUAGAUUCUGAGAAGGUUCUCUGGGAGACGGACUCCUGGUGAGCUUUAGCUCCCAAAGCUGUUCUUCCACCUCUCCUAGCCUUGCCUGGUCACAGAACUCUCAACGGGCAAGGAUGAGGCUGGGGGCAGGCAGCGCAGAAGGCAGCCAUCAGGAGAGACGGUAUGUGCUCUCGGAGUAGUCACUGGAGACAUUCUUACAUCUAGAGUUCACUGUGGGCCAUGGAACUAGUUCCUGGGGAAGCUGAAUGUCCUGGACCCAGCUGAUGGGCAUGGGAUAGCUAAGGGAGCCUCUCAGAUUCCAGGCAUUCCACAAGCUUCCAGAAACCUGCAGUCAGGAAGUUUGCCCCCACCCAGGGUUACAUUCCUGAGUUCCGUAUGUGGCCUGGAGAAGUAGUUUAAAUUAAAGAUUAAGAAUAGACCCAGACCAGGAACCAUACCACUAGGUUUUCCCGUCCAGAUCUCCUCUUGUUGCUGGGGGCACUUAGGAAGUGUGAAAUCCUGCUUCCAUUAGUUCCAUAGGCAGAUGCAGAUACUGUUGCUAGACUUCAUAGCUUCUCAACAAGAAUUUGAAGUUAAUUCAUACAAAAUGCUUUAGUUGGCACAAAGACAAAAAGUUGGCACAUAGCAAGCACUAUCUAAGCUUUAUUAUAAUAAUUACCAUCAGCAUCACAAUUAACCCCUUCUUUACUCAAUGGGUAAUGAUAUAUAUUUUAAAAUGGUGCUCUACUGCACGCAUAGUUUCUCCACAGCUGGGAUUCUGUCUGGGCUGUGCAUCAAGCUCUUUAACCCUUCGUUACUCCUAUUCUCACACCAGGUGCCAACUUUGGAUAUUUAUCUUUUCAAAGAGCCUUAGAUCUGUCUGUCUUUAAUAUCUGUCUCCUCUGCCGAGACUUGCCAGGGCUGGCUCACACGGCGUGACUCACCCAGAGUUAAAGCAGUUAGUGUUACAGUUGGAAAGUCCUGAUUGUGGCUUUCUCCCCAGAUGGCCGUGGGAACUUUUACUGGUACCUUAUAAAGCCUAUGUCUUGGUUUUCUCAUCUAUGAAAUGAGAGCAAUUCUACUCUAUGGUGUCAAUGUCUUCUAACAGUUGUUAGAGCCUGAGGGACAGCAGAAGUUGCUCCAAAAAUAUACAUAAAAGGCUGAGUACUGUUUUUCUAAAUCUAUGUUCUUGAAUCGUCCCAAUCUGGUGAAAGCAAGAAGCCACAUAAAACAACAGUUACAGUAAAAGGUGACUUUGAGGACGUCUGCUAUGAGAAGUUGGUCUAGCCAGGUGUGAGGACUGAGUUCAAACUAAUUAGGACUAGGAGGGUUUGUUUAUUAAGGGCUGACAGUACAGUGGCUCAGAACUGAAACCCCUCAUCUGACAGACUAUCACCAUCUCGAUCCUUGUACUGCAAGUAGCUCAGCAGGUAAUUUCAAAGAGGCUCGACUGGCUGGCUGGGCCAGAUGUUUGCAGCCUCAGUUUCCCCGUCAUUUCAAACUCUUGUCAAGGUCUGUGAGGCAGAGGUAGCAUGGGGUGGGAAACUGGCUGUGAUGUGAAAGGGAAGCUACAUUUUUACAGGUUCAUUAUUCUUAGGGAUCAGAGUCAGGUGGGUUGACCUUAACAUCUGCCUGGAACUCUUGCAAGUAAGAGUGUGGGGAGUGGCUUGGUUACUUACAUCAGAACUUAAUUCACAACAUUAACAAUGGGCCCCAAACAGCUCUGCUGAAGGCAACUGACACAUCAGGCUUUUAGCUUUGUUUUGAAUUUAAAUAAACUAAUUGAGCCACAUGAGUUCUUAUAUUAUUAGCUCCAACCACACAACACAGCAGAUAAAACACAAACACACAAGGGGGCUGCAGCCAGAAGGACGCUGGAGGCUUGGGAGUAAAUGAUAACCAGAUCUUCCACCAAAAGGGAAAAUGUUCCACGUCGCAGGCAUAGUGUACAAAUCUAAGAAAGGUCCUCUCUGCUCAUUACUUGGUUCAAUUGAUACGACCAUUCAUCUUGUAUAGACCGUAUAUGCACUAAUUUCCGGGUAAAUAGCAAAACUGUUAUACUUGUUAAAGAUAUUAGCAUGGUAUAGCUGCAGGUGUCUCUCUUCUGGGGCAUGCUCCUCUUCCUAUGCCACUUCUCAGGUGUGGAAGAAAUAGGCAGGAAGCUCUGAGGAAGAUUAGCAACAGAGUGCACCUACUGCCCUUGGGAACACACAUAGGUGUGUGCAUCUGCUGCCCUUGGGGACACAUAGGUGUGUGCACCUGCUGCCCUUGGGGACACAUAGGUGUGUGCACCUGCUGCCCUUGGGGACACAUAGGUGUGUGCACCUGCUGCCCUUGGGGACACAUAGGUGUGUGCACCUGCUGCCCUUGGGGACACAUAGGUGUGUGCAACCUGCUGCUUUUUCAGCCCAGAAAGCCGUACAGGUGUCAUUUUCCCGCCUAUACCAACUGUGGUAUACAACCAAGGUGCUCCAUAGGGCUGAGGCACUAACCUGGAGAGAGCAGACUGACAUUGCUGCUUCUCUGCAGCUGCGUUUAGGGCAGAUAUCCGUGCUAGAGGGCUGGGGGAAAUGGAGGCUGCGGGUCUAGGGUGUGCUCUUCAGGAAGGCUGUGGCAGAUUCACUGAAUGCCAAGGAACUGCCCGCCUCGUUGGAGACUAGUGGUGUUGGCACAUGCCUUUAUUUUCGUGACAAUUUUAGGUAAAUGAAUUAAAAAUAAUAAAUGGAGAAGAAAGGUAGGAGUCAAAGCACUUGCAUCUGCCAUCUCAAAGCCUAUGUGAGCACAGGUCCUUGAAAUAAAUUGUGACUGCCUGGCGGCUUUGGCUUCCCACACUGUGUUGCCUCAUGGUGGGGAAGAGCAUUCACUGUUGCCUUGACUGUCGAGCUCCUCCUCCUCCUCCUCCCCUCCUCUCCCCCUCCUCCUCCUCCUCCUCUUCCUCCUCCUCCUCCUCAUUUUAUAAGUUAGAACUGGAAACCUGCCAGUCUGGAGAAAUCAGUAAAACCAAAAAUAACGCCCGAGUUCUCUGGAGAUUCAGGGAAACAAAUUUCCGGGCAACAAUUGCCUCCUUUGAAAAUUUUCCCACUUCUAUUUUUUUUUUUUCAACUAAAAUGUACGUGUCUUCUGAGUCAUGUGGGGUGUUUGUUAGUGUAGACCACGAUACCUAUCAACCUAACAAGAAACCUGUCUAGUAGCGACCUGUCUGUCUAGUGGCGACGCAUGGCUUUUUUUUCUGGCGCAGUGCUCAUAAAUGUGUGCAGUGCCGGGGGGGGGGGGGGGUGGUGGUGAAGAAGGGUGCAUGAAAUAUUCACAGCAUGGCUCCAGGGAUCUUGCUGUGGGGGAGGGGAGCCCUCUUUUGCUCCUUCAUUUGCAGAGACCACAGCGCUGAAGCCGACCUCAUGCAGUGAAGGUCACCAAUGGACUUCUUCCUUCCCCCUUCCCACGAGAACAUGCUAACCCUAUCAUGUGCCAUACACUAUGCCAUGAAAUGGUAAGUAAGAUUCAGAGUGUUGAAACGCCAGGCACAAUGGCACACGCUUGUAAUUCUGGUGCAGGGGACAUGGGGACAGGUAAGUGGAACUUCGGGGGGCCUAUGGCUAGCCAGCCUAGACUACUUGGAGAUUUUCUGACCCAUAAGGCAUGCCGUAUCGAAAUACAACAUAGAUGGCAACUGAUAUUCUUCCUUGGACUCCACAUGUGCACAUACACAUGAACACAAACACAUGAACACAAACUCUCUCUCUCUCUCUCUCUCUCUCUCUCUCUCGCACGCGCGCGCGCGCACACACACACACACACACACACACACACACACACACACCAGCUUCGCAAUGGUGAAUGGGUGAAUGUCACGGAGGGUUAAAUACCAUUCAAACACACUGCCAGGAACUUGCCAGCCUUAGCAGAAAGGGCUGGUCAUGACGUUACAGCCCUAAUCAGAUUACGCAGUUAAGGGCACAGGGUCCUGGUAGGAAGUCAGAAGUGGCUAUUUGAAGAAUAAAUGUUUAGCUAAUGCUGGCCACCAUUUUAUCACCAAUUGUUACCAACUCUAAAGGCUGGUCAUUCUCCAAGGACGGGCUGUCUAUUCAGAGGUACGCCACAACCACACAACCCCUGCUACGUGGUUAUCAGGCAGGUUAAUCACCUGCCUCAGAGUGAGGGGAGGGGUACUUCUGGAACUCAUAGACAGACAGACAGACAGACAGCCUUAAAGGCUGACAUUUAGCAAGUAUGCACUGGUGUGUCUGUGCCAUUUAUUAAAACACAGGGAAUACAGUUUUAGACAGAAAAUAGGCACAUUCCCAAGCCAGAUGCUGUUAAGUAUCUCUGCCACUCCUCUGUCCACACACACCAAUGCCACCUCCAAAUUUUGGUACUGACCAGUGCAGGACCUCAGCCAUCAGACAGUUAAACUCAACCUAUCAGGGAGCCUUCAAUACGGAGGUUCCUUGCGUUCUGAUUGGCUGAUGUUCAAUAGAUAGGUACUUAAGGUAACUCGACUGAAUACCACAUAUUUGUGAUAAAGUCACAAUGCAUGAUUGUUCCUUGUACUGUAGGUGUGAAUGCUUUCAGGAAGGGGAAGGGACAGUGCUAAGGGAAAGGGUGGGCUAAGGGGGAAGAAAGACAUGAGGAGAGGGGAGAAAUACUAGAAAAUAAGAAAGCACAGAGACAUUUCAACAGUGCCAUCAUGCUGAAUCACAGAAGAAAAGAAACACUCUUCUCAGGUUGCUUUGGACCACUCAGUGGUCUGGCAAUGACCUACAGAUGCAGCUGAAGUAGAGGGAGCCUGCGCUUUGUUCAGAAAAACCAGGCUGGGUAGGUGCAGGGCAGGCAUGGCUUGCACCAUAGCACAGGCUGGGGCACUGUCUGGAGAAGAAGUGUGGCAGUUACAGGGGACGUGGGGUCGGGGCUUAGUGGUGUGUGCAUCCCUUUACCCAUCCCACAGAUGGUUUCUGAACAUCUGUUUAAUACCAGAAGCUGGGGUGGAACUGCACACAGGACGGGACGCUGUGGCCUUGUCCUUGACGGAAAUAGCAGGGAGUUAUGUAAUACUGCACCUAUCAUGUUGCAGGCAGUUUCUAAGCACUUUUCAAAGAUCAUUCCUACUUAAUCUUUACUACAAGCUCUUAAAGAGGUACUGUUAAUAGCCCUGUUUUAUGGGAUGGAACAGAGGCACGGGGAGGUGAGGGUAACAACGUCCCAAGGCCAUGCAGCUCAGAAGCAGCAGACCUGUGCUUCCAUCCAGGCAGACUGGCCUCAGAUCCCUUCUGUCACCCCCUCUGCAGAAUCAGCCCUCUGCAGAGCCAUUUUUAAGAGACUCACAAUGAAACAAUCACAUCACACCUAGCAGAAUAGUCUUCACACACUGUUACAUUGUUACACUAUUAUUACAGCUUCACAACACCCGCGUGACUGCUACCCCAACUUAAGGGUAAGGAAGGAAGGGUUUCAGAGAGACUUCAGGGACUUUCCAAGGUCAAGUCAAAGUCAAAGAUCAAACAGUGUGUUUUGAUCUGCCAUUACUAAACCACGAACCUUGUACAUUGCCUCUUGGGGCUGGUGGAAGAGGUUCCCGAGUAACAGAUUUUUGGCUCCACAUUUGAAAGCUAGUUUAAGGAGAACAGAUGACGUGAUAUUAUUAUGAACUUUUGGGUAGGCAUAACACUGGCUCAGCAAUGUUCUACAUUGAAUUGUAUUUCCAUGAAAAAGAUAAACUGAGGUCCUAAUACCUACUACCUCUGGAAGUGACAGUGACCUUAACUGGAGCUCACUGAAGACUAAACGGACACCAGGUGCUUAGCUGAGCUGAUCCAGCAUGACUGCCGACUGUCUGAGCUCCUUUACGUUUCAUUUACAUUUUUUUCCUAACCAGUAAGAAUUGUGCCUGCACAUACUGGGCAAGUCUAGUGUUUCACCAUCAAGCUACAUCCUCCCAGACCUCACCUGACUUCGUAAAACAAAGAAAAAGCAAGCGUGAGAAAAGAUCUCACCAAGUUGUCUGUCUGCCUCGGCGGGCACUGAAUUUGUGAUCCUCCUGCCUCAGCUUUCAGAGUAGCUGGGAGUACAGGCCCAUGCCAUCCCAUCCAGCUACUUGUCAAACGGGAGAUCUGUACAGAGGGAAUGGGGUGAGGAAUAGGAAGGGGAUGGUGACUCUAAGGCAGGGAACAUCUGCGGUCCCCAGACAGGUGAGAGGCAGAAAAGUGAUUCUUCCUGGAGGUGUGAGAGGGACCAUGACUUUGCUGAUGUUGACUUUGGACUGCCGGAGUGGAUUUCCAUUGCUUUACGCCAUCCUGUCUCCAGUUCUUGUUAUAGCAGCUGCAGAAGCUAACAACCUCUAAGAAACACACUUUCUUUCUGGGAAUGGAGAGUCCCAUCCCUACGGUGUCUGGCUCUGCAGAUAGACUCCUUUCUUUAAUUAACUUGGGUAAUGAGAUCAUCUUGCUUGUUUAGAAAUAAAUGACCACUGUUUGUAAAUCUUUAUCAAGCCCAGUGAUUUUUCUACCAAUGAAACUAGUCGGUCUAAAAGCUACCCAACUUUUCAUAUGGAAAAUCUAAUAGGAGAGGUUUAUUUUAGGAGCAGACAGUGUUUCACUGAGGAGCUCAUUAGCAAUUCAGGAAGGCCUACUGAGUCUCCGAAGAUCUGCUCUCCAAGAGAAAUGUUGGGAUAAUUCUUAAAUUCUGAUGACAGACAGUGACUCGAUAAAAAAUGGUCCUUGGUAUUAAAGUUGUAUAGGAGGAGGGAGCCCGCCAGUAAAACGGAAGGGAAAGCGAACAGAUAAAUUCAGGGGGGCAACAUUCUGCGGUUACCGUGCACACACGAGCCAGGCACUUGUACAAUCUCAACCUGGAGGUGAGGCCACCUUCAAGGGUAGCUUGAAACAGGGAGAUGGCGGAAGGAAAGAGAAAUGGGAAGACACUCGCCUGCUUAGGCACCGCCUACUGCUGCGGUCAUCUAACACAAUGAUUUCUCCUUAUCCUGAUCAAGGUCCAAGUUCCUAGGACAGCAUGACCCAGAAGUGACCCUGACUUUCUGUCCUGGAUGUGCAGCCUUGGUGCCCCAGUGUUGAAAAAAACAAAGCAAAACAAAACAAACCCACAGGGUUACUUUGCUGGCCUUGCUCUUCUGCCUCCCACCAGCCAUGUCUACAUACUGGAGAGCGGAAACUUACGUGUGAAUAUUCCACGUGGCUUCUUCUGUCUUUGCUACCAAGUGUGGGGAGCUUGAUUACCACAGAACACCCUGGUUACACACCAUGUUUUCUUUCUCAAAGCCCAUCUAGACUCCUCUUGCUGUGGCCCAUCUGGACACAGCAUCUGUGGCCGUUUCUCAGACUUCUUGCUCUUGACUGUUUCUCUGAGAUGGAUGGACCCAGACAACUGUGUUCACCACCAUCAAACUUGAUGGAAUCCAAACAAACACGGAGCAAAACAUCACUCCCUCUCCCUCUUCAGACUUUUGGGUGAACUGGAAUAAAUCUUCCUAACAUUGGGACCCAUCCAUUGUUAAGAGUUGGGUAUUUGAGAACAGUCCAGAAAUUGCCUGUCAAACUGAUCUAUUUGCAAACUGAACUGAUUCGUUGUUAAAGAGAAUAAUACUUUUGAAAAAGAGCAUUAUACAUACAUACAUACAUACAUACAUACAUAUAUACAUACACAGACACAUAUGUAUAUGGUAGUGAUUCUUGAUAACAUUUGUUGACUGAAUUACAACAAAUACACACCGUUUUGUUACUAAUCAUUAAAUGGUUCUUUUCAGCUGCAUCCUUGAAAUUAUGCUAAAUGUUUUGCUUAGUAGUAUGAAGACACCUCCACUUGACAGAUGGCAGAACAAGGUCCUGCACAGGCUAUGUCACAUACCCUUACAAAUACAAGUAGAAAGAGGCAAAGCCAAGAUGUGAGCACAGCACAGUGACCCCAGAGCCCUGUUCUUGGCUCCUGUCCUGUCAUAUGUUCAUAUCAUCACUGGAAAUUACACCGAUUCAAAUCUUGCAACGCACCAAGCACAGUGCUAAGUGCUUUACAGAGAUGGCCACAGAUUCACAAUUAGUCUGCGUGGUGGGGCUUAUUUUUCAGUUUCAAGUAUAGGAGCCAAGAUGCAUGGAGGUUAACUUGCCCAGCGUCAUAUGCUGUAGUGUGUGUAAGGGGAAGGUCCCAGAUCUCAUCCCACUCAGCCUAGCUUGAGCACCUGCUCUGAAUAUCUAUCAUUGGUUCCUGCCAUGUGUCUGGAACCAUGCUAGGGUCAAGGGCAGACGACAACAAAAAAUGAGAUGCUCCCACCCACGAGGAACUCUAGAUACACAGACCUGUAAUCUGUAGACAUGGGCAUGGAAAGGAAGGACAGCGUAAUGAUAAGUUAUAUGUGAGUCUAACAUUAGCCGGAAGGGUCCAUAUAACUUCAUAAAUCAUGCAUCUUUACAAAUUCAAUUAAAAUGAUGGAGUAUAUUUUAUAAGUCUGGUUGGAUUUUAAUACGUCAAACUAACCAUCAGAGAGAACGACCCUACCAGGCUGUUCUGCCCUUUUUUUUAAUUUACUGGAGCUGAAGGUGCUGAUAACAGGCUCUGGCCUGUCCCAUUAGGGCAAAUCUGAGGCCCUAGAUUUCAGGCAUGCAAACCCGGAGUAACUCUAGUUAUUCUUACACUUGUACCUUUUAGACAUCCAUCAGUGUUUUCUUUACUAAUAGCCAACACCUAGAAGGAGGUGUCUCUCAUUGAUUGCUGGGUAACAAUCUCCUCUCCUUUCUCCCAUUUUGAACUGUCUGCCAAAGUCUAGCUCAGCUGACCUGUCUCCACAUGAUGGACGCCCCACCCAAUCCCUAGGCUUCUUGAGAAGGCAGACAACCUGUGUUUCUGCGCACUUCUCCCUUUGCAUGUCUGGAUGGCACUUGAUCCCACGGUCAGUGCUGACCAGGCUACCAUCAGUGUCGAUGCCAGAUUCCAUCUUGGAUGUACUCUCUAAGCUCCUUGCAAGCAGAAACUCACUCAAACUUCCAGGAACAGCCAACAGCAAGGAACACAUGGCCCCAAUGACUCCUGAGUCUGUGUUUGCUGAAUAGAUGAGUUUUGAAAGACAGAUUUCUCAAGGCAAGAACUUUGUAAACUUUGGGGGAUGAGUGAGACCAACGGAUGAAUGAAGAGAUCGUGAGCAUGACCUGAAGGCUGUGUCUGCUCUUGGCAGCCCUUCUAUUAUGUACAGGAGGAUUUGUCCUCCAUUAAACCAAAGGUACUAUUGCCAAAAGAUUAUUUUUUAAAAAAGAUUCAAGUAUUCCAACAAGGAUAGAAGUUCCCAUUUUAUCAACAAUGAAACCAUCUACAUACCAAUACAAUGGCUUUUAAAUAGUAGCAUGGGUUUCACUAUGUCCAGUGUCUUACAUACACUGCUUCUGUUUCUUACAACAACCUUGGGACCCUGUCUUCUCAUCUCUGUUCUGCAUGUGGAGUGAGCCAACGUUGGAAAGGAAAUGGCUUAAGGUUCCAUGCCUUGAACUAUCUAUGCUGCUGAAGAUGACCUUGAACUUCUGAUCCUCCCGCCUCUACCCCAUUCCCCACACAAGUAUAAACAAGUGUGCAGACCACACCCUGUGUAGCUCUGGGUAUGAACCCUGGGGCUUUGUAUGUGCAAGGCAAACAUUCUCCGGAACUGAGCAACACCCCCAACCCUCCUCAAGUUCCUUUGUCUUUUCAGUUUUGGCUGGGCUCCAUUAUCAGACUGCCAGUUUCAUUUUUUUUUCCUGCUCUGUCCCCCAGGCAGAGGAGAAUGAGCCCCAAGGGGACAAAAAUGGGUAGGAAAAGAAGGCAGGGCCACGGAGCACUGCCGUCUAGCACUCAGACUGAUCAUUCAGCUUCUGGUUUUACAUUUUAAGCUAACGCAUGGGGUGAGCCUCUAGCCUGGCAAGCACAAGGUUGACCAGGAACCACCACACUUGAAAAGUGGGUCGGACCAGGAUGUCUACUUUCAGGUCCAAAGUCCUGAGGCUCGGGCAUUUACCUCCUUUUUUUAAAAUUAGGUAUUUAUUUCAUUUACAUUUCCAAUGCUAUCCCAAAAGUC